GGCGAACGCUGGCGGCGCGCCUAACACAUGCAAGUCGAACGAGCGAGAGAGAGCUUGCUUUCUCGAGCGAGUGGCGAACGGGUGAGUAACGCGUGAGGAACCUGCCUCAAAGAGGGGGACAACAGUUGGAAACGACUGCUAAUACCGCAUAAGCCCACGGGUCGGCAUCGACCAGAGGGAAAAGGAGUAAUCCGCUUUGAGAUGGCCUCGCGUCCGAUUAGCUAGUUGGUGAGGUAACGGCCCACCAAGGCAACGAUCGGUAGCCGGACUGAGAGGUUGAACGGCCACAUUGGGACUGAGACACGGCCCAGACUCCUACGGGAGGCAGCAGUGGGGAAUAUUGCACAAUGGGGGAAACCCUGAUGCAGCGACGCCGCGUGGAGGAAGAAGGUCUUCGGAUUGUAAACUCCUGUUGU
This 416-nucleotide ribosomal RNA is filed under the name uncultured bacterium. Its description in RNAcentral is "bacterial SSU rRNA". It matches the Rfam family "Bacterial small subunit ribosomal RNA", at positions 28 to 439 of the family's 1533-position model. The record is from RNAcentral.